This 253-nucleotide ribosomal RNA is filed under the name uncultured bacterium. RNAcentral describes it as "partial 16S ribosomal RNA". It matches the Rfam family "Archaeal small subunit ribosomal RNA", at positions 474 to 727 of the family's 1478-position model. The record is from RNAcentral.
UACCAGCACCCCGAGUGGUCGGGACGAUUAUUGGGCCUAAAGCAUCCGUAGCCGGUACUGCAAGUCUUCCGUUAAAUCCACCUGCUCAACAGUUGGGCUGCGGAGGAUACUACAGCGCUAGGAGGCGGGAGAGGCAAGCGGUACUCAGUGGGUAGGGGUAAAAUCCACUGAUCCAUUGAAGACCACCAGUGGCGAAGGCGGCUUGCCAGAACGCGCUCGACGGUGAGGGAUGAAAGCUGGGGGAGCAAACCGG